GAUGAACGCUGGCGGCGUGCCUAAUACAUGCAAGUCGAGCGAACAGACGAGGAGCUUGCUCCUCUGACGUUAGCGGCGGAAGGGUGAGUAACACGUGGAUAACCUACCUAUAAGACUGGGAUAACUUCGGGAAACAGGAGCUAAUACCGGAUAAUAUCUUGAACCGCAUGGUUCAAUAGUGAAAGACGGUUUUGCUGUCACUUAUAGAUGGAUCCGCGCCGCAUUAGCUAGUUGGUAAGGUAACGGCUUACCAAGGCAACGAUGCGUAGCCGACCUGAGAGGGUGAUCGGCCACACUGGAACUGAGACACGGUCCAGACGCCUACGGGAGGCAGCAGUAGUGAAUCUUCCGCAACGGGCGAAAGCCUGACGGAGCAACGCCGCGUGAGUGAUGAAGGUCUUCUGAUCGUAAAACUCUGUUAUUAGGGAAGAACAAAUGUGUAAGUAACUAUGCACGUCUUGACGGUAGCUAAUCAGAAAGCCACGGCUAACUACGUG
RNAcentral lists this ribosomal RNA (497 nucleotides) under uncultured bacterium. Its description in RNAcentral is "partial 16S ribosomal RNA". It matches the Rfam family "Bacterial small subunit ribosomal RNA", at positions 28 to 507 of the family's 1533-position model. The record is from RNAcentral.